CCUACGGGAGGCUGCAGUGGGGGAUAUUGCACAAUGGGGGGAACCCUGAUGCAGCGACGCCGCGUGGGUGAAGGAGUGCUUCGGCAUGUAAAGCCCUAUCGGCAGGGAAGAAGCAAGACGGUACCUGACUAAGAAGCCCCGGCUAACUACGUGCCAGCAGCCGCGGUAAGACGGAGGGGGCCAGCGUUAACCGGAUGCACUGGGUGUAAAGGGAGCGUAGACGGCCAGACAAGUCAGAAGUGAAAACCCUCGGCGCAACGGCGGUAGUGCUUUUGAAACUGUUUGGCUGGAGUGCAGGAGAGGUAAGUGGAAUUCCUAGUGUAGCGGUGAAAUGCGUAGAUAUUAGGAGGAACACCAGUGGCGAAGGCGGCUUACUGGACUGUAACUGACGUUGAGGCUCGAAAGCGUGGGGAGCAAACAGGAUUAGAUACCCCUGUAGUC
RNAcentral lists this ribosomal RNA (441 nucleotides) under uncultured bacterium. Its description in RNAcentral is "partial 16S ribosomal RNA". It matches the Rfam family "Bacterial small subunit ribosomal RNA", at positions 338 to 795 of the family's 1533-position model. The record is from RNAcentral.